GUGGGGAAUAUUGGACAAUGGGCGCAAGCCUGAUCCAGCCAUGCCGCGUGAGUGAUGAAGGCCUUAGGGUUGUAAAGCUCUUUCGCCGACGAAGAUAAUGACGGUAGUCGGAGAAGAAGCCCCGGCUAACUUCGUGCCAGCAGCCGCGGUAAUACGAAGGGGGCUAGCGUUGUUCGGAAUCACUGGGCGUAAAGCGCACGUAGGCGGACAUUUAAGUCAGGGGUGAAAUCCCGGGGCUCAACCCCGGAACUGCCUUUGAUACUGGGUGUCUGGAGUAUGGAAGAGGUAAGUGGAAUUCCGAGUGUAGAGGUGAAAUUCGUAGAUAUUCGGAGGAACACCAGUGGCGAAGGCGGCUUACUGGUCCAUUACUGACGCUGAGGUGCGAAAGCGUGGGGAGCAAACAGGAUUAGAUACCCGUGUAGUCC
This 425-nucleotide ribosomal RNA is filed under the name uncultured bacterium. RNAcentral's name for it is "partial 16S ribosomal RNA". It matches the Rfam family "Bacterial small subunit ribosomal RNA", at positions 354 to 796 of the family's 1533-position model. The record is from RNAcentral.